GGGCCCGUGGCCUAGCUGGAAGGGCGCCGGCCUCCUAAGCCGGAAGUCCCGGGUUCGAAUCCCGGCGGGCCCGCCA
This 76-nucleotide transfer RNA is filed under the name Thermoprotei archaeon. RNAcentral describes it as "tRNA-Arg". It matches the Rfam family "tRNA". From Rfam's summary of the family: Transfer RNA (tRNA) molecules are approximately 80 nucleotides in length. Their secondary structure includes four short double-helical elements and three loops (D, anti-codon, and T loops). Further hydrogen bonds mediate the characteristic L-shaped molecular structure. tRNAs have two regions of fundamental functional importance: the anti-codon, which is responsible for specific mRNA codon recognition, and the 3' end, to which the tRNAs corresponding amino acid is attached (by aminoacyl-tRNA synthetases). tRNAs cope with the degeneracy of the genetic code in two manners: having more than one tRNA (with a specific anti-codon) for a particular amino acid; and 'wobble' base-pairing, i.e. permitting non-standard base-pairing at the 3rd anti-codon position. The record is from RNAcentral. Lineage: Archaea; Thermoproteati; Thermoproteota; Thermoprotei.